RNAcentral lists this ribosomal RNA (255 nucleotides) under uncultured bacterium. Its description in RNAcentral is "partial small subunit ribosomal RNA". It matches the Rfam family "Bacterial small subunit ribosomal RNA", at positions 26 to 285 of the family's 1533-position model. The record is from RNAcentral.
AGAUUGAACGCUGGCGGCGUGCCUAACACAUGCAAGUCGAGCGGAAAGGCCCUUCGGGGUACUCGAGCGGCGAACGGGUGAGUAACACGUGAGCAACCUGCCCUUAGCUCCGGGAUAGCUCCGGGAAACCGGAAUUAAUACCGGAUACGACCACGGCCGACAUCUGCUGUGGUGGAAAGGAUUCCGGCUAAGGAUGGGCUCGCGGCCUAUCUAGCUAGUUGGUGGAGUAACGGCCCACCAAGGCGACGACGGGUA